AUGCGUCUCCGAGCUGGCAGUGCCUCGGCACGGUGCUGGCGCCGUGCUGCACGCAGCCCUUUGCCUCCAGAGCGGCUUCCACGCCUCGUCUUGGUGCAAUCUGGGGCAAAACGGGCCGGCUCCGGCGGUGCUGGCCCCGGCAGAGCCAGACCUUUGGGUCUGUUGGACGCGAUGUUGGCAGGGCGCUGGCCGUGCCGGCUCCUCCCCGCGCCUCCGAGGCCGCCGGUCCCGAUUGCACCUGGGGCUGAGCCGUCCCCACGGCUCCUGGCCUCGUCCCAGGACCCGCUGGGGGUCCCCUGGGGGCAGCCCCCUCUUCGCCUUCGUCCUCCCUUGGCUCUGGAAGUGGGUCAGGGCUGCAGCUGGAGGCCGGAGGCUGGCCAAGGGCCGCGGUCCCUCCUGCCGAUGAUUCAGCCUUGGCCGGGUGGGAGAGCCCCGGCGAGGGGUGGCCGUGCUCCAGGUGCUGCUCGGAGCCAGGGGCUGCACAGCCCCGACGUGCAAGGGAACGGCAGCGCCGGCUGCCCAGCCCUGCCUCGCCUUCCCCGGGCUGAUGCAUCCUCCCCAAACCCAAGAGACCAAAGCCUCCGGCGUCCCGAAGCUUUGGGGACGCCCCAAAACCACGGCGUCGCUGCGGGAUCCCGUGAGGGUCGCGGGCCAGCGCCUCCCUUUGCUGUAGUGCUGAGACCCUCACCCCGUGCCCUUUCGCACAUCACCCAAGGGCAGCACACCCACCCCGACGCCGUCGCCACCGGUCACCUCCAGCCUGGCCACCACCGUGAGCGUCGCCCUGAACCUCACCGAGCCCUUCGAGGUACCGCCGGGGCUGGGAGCAGCAGCGGGCAGGGGAUCCCCAAAAUCUGUGCAUCCCCAGCAUCUCCCCCCAUCCCUCAGGACGCUGGCGAGGAGCUCCUGCUGGAAUCCGGGGAGGACGGAGCCGCUGGGGCUGCCAGCGGGGAGCCACCAGGCUACGAGGACUACUACGACGGGGACCCUGCGAGCCCGGAGCGCUUCGGCCCCGCCGAGCGGGAGGAGACGGUGAUCCGGGCUCCCCAGGUAACACUGGGGACGAGGACCGGGACCCCCUCCAGGCACGGCCGGACGAGCUGGGGCCACGGUAUGGGGUCCGGGGGUCCUGCAGGCGGUUCGGAGCUCAGCCCCGAGCUCGCGGCCGCGUUCCCUGACCGCGGCGCCGCGCUGCGUCCCGCAGGAACCCAGCCUGAAGGGGGACAAGGGCGAGCCGGCCGUCGUGGAACCGGUGAGCAGGGGGGGCGCACGGCCCCCCGGGGACACUCGGAGCCCUGCUGCGGGUCACCCGUGGGUGUUGGCUUGCAGGACGGGGCGCAGGGACGUGCUGUGCUCGCUCCUUUCUCUUUUAGGGUCGGCGAUUCGAGGGGCCGCCGGGACCCCCGGGCCCUGCGGUAA
This 1419-nucleotide long non-coding RNA is filed under the name Cairina moschata (Muscovy duck). RNAcentral's name for it is "domestica (muscovy Duck (domestic type)) lncRNA (ENSCMMG00000012295.1)". The record is from RNAcentral. Lineage: Eukaryota; Metazoa; Chordata; Aves; Anseriformes; Anatidae.